GGGGAUGACCGGUUUUGACAGCGUGUAGAGGUGGUGAGCAAGCAUGCAGAGCAACGAUGCCUACGCUCUUUAAUCUGGGACAUCAGCAAUUUUAAAUGGCGAAAACAACUACGCUCUUGCUGCCUGAUCGAAGCACAGUAGAUCACGCUUAAUCUCCGCAACAGUUGCAGAGACAAGACAUCGCCCGGCUGCCCUCUUCCCGAGGCGAGCCGAACCGGCGGUGCAGACAAAUCGGGAAUAGGAAGCUGAAUGCCGCGCGAAGCUUCUGAGAUUUUAGCGGAUAAGGGUCGGCAUUGGCGGUUUCAGGCCUGUGCCACCACGAAAACCAAUCUGAAAAUAAGCAUGUAGAAAACUCAUUAGUUCCACGUUUGGACGAGGGUUCAAACCCCUCCAUCUCCACU
This 401-nucleotide transfer-messenger RNA is filed under the name human gut metagenome. It matches the Rfam family "transfer-messenger RNA". From Rfam's summary of the family: Bacterial tmRNA, also known as 10Sa RNA or SsrA, is named for its dual tRNA and mRNA-like properties. Its role is to liberate the mRNA from a stalled ribosome. The record is from RNAcentral.